Molecule: unclassified non-coding RNA, 4122 nt
Filed under: Pomacea canaliculata
Lineage: Eukaryota; Metazoa; Mollusca; Gastropoda; Architaenioglossa; Ampullariidae
Description: cysteine--tRNA ligase, cytoplasmic-like, transcript variant X2
Source: RNAcentral
GGAUACUACUACCUGUUUCGUCAGUUGCGUGGACUUGUGAGUCUACUUUAAAGUCUUACUUUCGAGAUGGCAGAAGCAGCAGGAAAAUCCAAAAGGAUGCAGCCAGCAUGGCAGCCACCUAAAGGAGAUGGUACAGUAACAUUAAAGUUGUACAACAGUUUGACACGCAAAAAGGAGGUGUUUGUGCCGCAGCACGGCAAGCGGGUGUUGUGGUACAGCUGCGGGCCCACGGUGUAUGACGCCUCCCACAUGGGACAUGCACGCUCCUACAUCUCCUUCGACAUCCUGCGACGCGUGCUGACGCAGUACUUCAAAUACGACGUUUUCUACUGCAUGAACGUCACCGACAUCGACGACAAGAUCAUCGUCCGUGCGCGCCAGACUUGGCUGUUACAAAACUACAGCCAGCAGGUGCUGACGGUGCGCCAGGUGCUAGCGGACAUAAAGGAGGCCAUGACGACCUUUGAGGGGAAGCUGAAGGCCGAGACGGACCCCGACAAGCUCGCCAUGUUGGAGAGGAUCAAUGGCCGCCUGCAGGAAGCUGUGCGCCUGGUCGAGCAGCGCGACACUAAACAGGAACAGAGCGACGAGCAGCGACAGGUGCUGCUGGAUGCAGGGCGAGAUGUCCUGGCCGGCUGGUUGGACAAGGAGAUGGGGUCCUCAGUCACUGACAAUGCUAUUUUCUCUGAGCUGCCUCGGCGUUUUGAGGAGGAGUUUCACAAGGACAUGGAGGCGCUUCAGGUCCUGCCGGCAGAUGUCUUAACACGUGUGAGUGAAUACAUCCCAGAAGUGAUUGCCUACGUCCAAAAAAUCAUUGCAAACGGCUACGGAUAUGAGGCCCAAGGUUCUGUGUACUUUGAUACAGCUGCCUUUGACUGUAGCGAAAGCCAUCAUUAUGCCAAGCUAGUACCUGAGGCAUAUGGAGACAAAAAGGCGCUUUCUGAGGGAGAAGGUGAGCUGAGCGUCUCAGAGGAGCGGCUGAAUGAGAAACGCAGUCCCAAUGACUUUGCUCUGUGGAAAGCCUCCAAGCCAGGCGAGCCGUCCUGGGACUCCCCCUGGGGCAAGGGACGCCCAGGCUGGCACAUUGAGUGUUCAGCUAUGGCCAGCUGUAUACUUGGAGAAUCAAUGGACAUUCACUCUGGAGGUUUCGAUUUGAAGUUCCCCCAUCAUGACAAUGAGCUGGCUCAGGCAGAAGCAUUCUAUGAAAAUGACCACUGGGUGCGCUACUUCUUGCACACCGGCCACCUGACUAUAGAUGGUUGCAAGAUGUCCAAAUCUCUGAAAAACUUCAUCACCAUCAAGGAAGCUCUGCAAAAAUAUUCAGCACGCCAGAUCCGCCUGCUCUUCUUGCUGCACGCCUGGAAAGACACACUGGACUACAGCGACAAGACCAUGGAGAUAGCUCUGGAGUACGAGAAAACAAUCAAAGAAUUUUUUCUUACAAUUAAAGAUCUUCUACGCACAACCCCUUCCACAGGGGUUCAGGCUUGGGACAAAUGGAAUCAGGAGGAGAUGACUCUGAAUAACAAGUACCAAGAGAAACGACAGAGGGUGCAUGAGGCACUCUGUGACAACAUUGACACAAGGACAGCCCUGGAUAAUGUACGUGAGCUGGUAACAGCUUCAAAUUCUUACAUAGCACAAGCUCAGCAGCUCAAGCGACGUCCAAACAGAUGUCUCCUUCAAACAAUUGCUCUCUAUAUCAUGGAUCUUUUAAAGGUCUUUGGUGCUAUCCCAACUGACUGCAGCAUUGGCUUCCCACAGGCCAGUGGGCAGACUAUUAAUCUGGAGGAGACACUGAUGCCAUACCUAUCAGCCUUUGCCACAUUUCGUGACCAAGUGCGACAGUCUGCCCGCGAACAGAAAGCAACUGGAAUUUUGAAGCUGUGUGAUGAGGUCCGAGACAGCAUUCUGCCAAAGCUUGGUGUAAGGCUGGAGGAUGUGGAAGGCCGCCCAUCAGCCAUCAAGCUGGUGGACAGUGAGACUCUAAUGCGGGAGCAGGAAGAGAAGAGAAAGCAAGAGGAGGAGAAGCGACUGUUAAAAGAAGCCAAGAAGAGGGAACAAGAGGCUGCUAAGGCUGCAAAAGAUGCACAAAGAAAAAUACCACCAUGGGAGCUGUUCCUCAAUGAGAAAGACAAGUAUUCCAAAUUUGAUGAUAAGGGCAUUCCCACCCAUGAUUCAGAGGGUGCUGAGCUCAAGAAAUCAGCCUUAAAGAAACUGGUCAAACUGUAUGAAGCACAGGAGAAGAAAUACAAAGAAUAUUUGGCCGAGAAGGGGGAAGGAAAAGUAGCCAGUGGUGAUUCCUGAGAACCGAGUGCUUCCAGCAACAACAGUGAUCUGCUCUUCCUUUCUUCUCUAAAUGUGAAGUUGUAUGAUUAGUGUAAUGAUACUCCAAAAACAGUUUUCUGUUACUUUUAUCUAUUGGCAAGUAGCCUCUUAUACUUCCUUACAGUUUCCCUAUUGCUGACAGAUGUGCAAAUUGCUAGUUUAUUUAUGUACGGAUUGCUGGUUUAUAGUUCUGUAAAUUACAGGUUUAUGUGUAUGUAAGCUAUUUUUGUCCUACAGAGUGGUUUCUAGUUUUUAUGCUUACAUAUUUGUUGCCAUCUCAUUUCCUUCUCUCUCUCCUCUCCUGCUUCUGAUUUUUAACUCAUUUUUGUGUUCUUUUGCUCCCUUAUACAUACAUAGUUACGAUAGUUAUGUGAAGGGCAUCUUCCCCCAAAUUUGCACUAAAAGCUUGUGUGCAGAAAAAAUUCUUAAUCCAAGUACAGUUCUGCAACAAGAUGACUAGCAGACAAAAUGCCCCAACAAAAAAUAAGCAUAAGUGAGUAAACAUUGGGAUUGAUUUUAUCCUUAUUCUUCUUGCCUCUUUCAUAUUUCUCAUUCAAACAGGCUUCAUUCCUGACUUUUUGUUUAUCACAUCUGUAUCUGUCUUUUCUCCUUUGUCAUUAUACAUUUGCUGACCUAUUUCAUUGUUUAUGUGAUGCUCAGCAAGGGAUACAAAGGGCAUUUUCUUCACCAGUAUCCUUGCAGCCAUACAGCUGGAUGUUUUACUGACAUGUGUCAAGGACCAAUGUUCUUCAGUUUCAAAGUCUCAUGUUAAAUGAUUCUGCACUCUAUAUAUCAAAAUUCAGUUAAAUUCAAUAUUUUCAUUUAUUUUUGUUGGAUUUUACCUAAGUCCCACAGUUUGUCAUAAUCCAUGUGAAAUAUUUUCUGUAUUUUUCUUGUAGUCAUCGAUCUUACCUAUGUAGAAAGCAUUUCUUUUUGUAAAAGAUUGUCACUGUAGGUCCUAGAGGUCAAAAGAGUUCCUCCAAAAUUUUUUUUAAGGAGGCUCAUUAACCUGGAAUAGGUCACAAGUUCAAAGUCUGUUUAAGUCAAUGUGUGGAAACUCACCCACCUGCAGGUAUUCAGCAGAAAUGUGGAACUGUUUUAUCACAGAAGGUAAAAGGUGGCAGGAGAGGCUUGGGCUCGGGCUUUUAUGAUGAAUCACUUACAUUUACUGCCCCUUACACCACCUACUUGGCUGUAAGACUAUCAUUUUUUUUAGUAAAUGUACUGGUCCUAAAUUGUUUAUACAAUAUUGCUAGCUUAUUUGGUAGAGGGGCUUGUCAGAAGUUUAUGUACUUCUGCUAAAUAAUGUAAUUGCUGUUGGGUUUUUUUUCUUUAAGCUAACAUUCUUGAGCAUGACAUCAACACUCAUUACUCUUAACAUAAAACGAGAAUAGCUUUGCCUCCACAUGUGCUAUUUUCUGUGUGAAAAUUCACCAGGACCAUGUCUCUAUGCUUACUGAGCAUCAAACCACUUAAGGACUUUUGCUUUAUAAAUGCUGAUGUGCCAUUCAUCAUUACUUGUUUUAGUGCAAAGUCUUGACAGUAGUAUAAAGUGUGUGUGAUGCCUAAAGUACAUUUUGUAAUAAUGCUUCCUGUUCUCUAGAAGAGUCAUGUCUCUUGUUAUGCUUAGAAUGGCCAGUCUUCUGUAUUGUUCUCUUUGUAGGUAACAUGUAGUCUUCUUAAUACUGAAUGGUUAGGCACCUGUUUGCUGCAAGCAGUUGGUAAUACUUCAUGCAGUUCAGUUUGUGUGCAAGCUUGGAGCUAAGGUGUUUCUCUUUUAAUGAAAAAAUGUAU